This 32-nucleotide non-coding RNA is filed under the name Geobacter sulfurreducens KN400. The record is from RNAcentral. Lineage: Bacteria; Pseudomonadati; Thermodesulfobacteriota; Desulfuromonadia; Geobacterales; Geobacteraceae.
CGGCGGCUGCCGUGAUGAGGCUGAUUUCCGGC